CGCCGCCGCGCGCGGCGGGCCUACGGGAGGCAGCAGUGAGGAAUAUUGGUCAAUGGGCGGAAGCCUGAACCAGCCAAGUAGCGUGCAGGAUGACGGCCCUAUGGGUUGUAAACUGCUUUUAUACAGGAAUAAAGUUAGCCACGUGUGGUUAUUUGUAGGUACUGUAUGAAUAAGGACCGGCUAAUUCCGUGCCAGCAGCCGCGGUAAUA
Molecule: ribosomal RNA, 209 nt
Filed under: uncultured bacterium
Lineage: Bacteria
Description: partial 16S ribosomal RNA
Rfam family: Bacterial small subunit ribosomal RNA
Source: RNAcentral